CAACUUGAGAGUUUGAUCCUGGCUCAGAGCGAACGCUGGCGGCAGGCUUAACACAUGCAAGUCGAGCGGGCGUAGCAAUACGUCAGCGGCAG
Molecule: ribosomal RNA, 92 nt
Filed under: Bradyrhizobium sp.
Lineage: Bacteria; Pseudomonadati; Pseudomonadota; Alphaproteobacteria; Hyphomicrobiales; Nitrobacteraceae
Also listed under: 1 other name
Description: partial 16S ribosomal RNA
Rfam family: Bacterial small subunit ribosomal RNA
Source: RNAcentral